CCUACGGGUGGCAGCAGUGGGGAAUAUUGCACAAUGGGGGAAACCCUGAUGCAGCGACGCCGCGUGAGUGAAGAAGUAUUUCGGUAUGUAAAGCUCUAUCAGUAGGGAAGCAAAUGACUGUACCUGUUUACGAAUCCCCUGCUAACUACGUGCCAGCAGCCGCGAUAAUACGUAGGGGGCAAGCGUUAUCCGGAUUUACUGGGGGUAAAGGGAGCGUAGACGGCAGCGCAAGUCUGAAGGGAAAUGCCCGGGCUUAACCCCGGAACUGCUUUGGAUACUGUGCAGCUAGAGUGCAGGAGAGGUAAGUGGAAUUCCUAGUGUAGCGGUGAAAUGCGUAGAGAUUAGGAGGAACACCGGUGGCGAAGGCGGCUUACUGGACUGUAACUGACGUUGAGGCUCGAAAGCGUGGGGAGCAAACAGGAUUAGAUACCCCAGUAGUC
RNAcentral lists this ribosomal RNA (440 nucleotides) under uncultured bacterium. RNAcentral's name for it is "partial 16S ribosomal RNA". It matches the Rfam family "Bacterial small subunit ribosomal RNA", at positions 338 to 795 of the family's 1533-position model. The record is from RNAcentral.